AGAUUGAACGCUGGCGGCGUGCCUAACACAUGCAAGUCGAGCGGUAACAGGUGUAGCAAUACAUGCUGACGAGCGGCGAACGGGUGAGUAAUGCUUUGGAAUCUUCCCAGUAGUGGGGAAUAACCAGUCGAAAGAUUGGCUAAUACCGCAUACGUCUUUAAAGGGAAAGCGGGGGCUCGUAAGACCUCGCGCUAUUGGAUGAGCCAAAGUCGGAUUAGCUAGUUGGUGGGGUAAUGGCCUACCAAGGCGACAAUCCGUAGCUGGUCUGAGAGGACGACCAGCCACACCGGAACUGAGACACGGUCCGGACUCCUACGGGAGGCAGCAGUGGGGGAAUAUUGGACAAUGGGGGAAAUCCUGAUCCAGCGACGCCGCGUGUGUGAAGAAGGCCUGCGGGUUGUAAAGCACUUUUAGUGGGGACAAAAAGCUACGGACUAAGUAUUCUGUGGUCUUGAUUUAACCCAAAGAAAAGCACCGGCUAACUCUGCGCCAGCAGCCGCGGUAA
This 505-nucleotide ribosomal RNA is filed under the name uncultured bacterium. RNAcentral describes it as "SSU rRNA". It matches the Rfam family "Bacterial small subunit ribosomal RNA", at positions 26 to 523 of the family's 1533-position model. The record is from RNAcentral.